RNAcentral lists this unclassified non-coding RNA (380 nucleotides) under Hevea brasiliensis (rubber tree). Lineage: Eukaryota; Viridiplantae; Streptophyta; Magnoliopsida; Malpighiales; Euphorbiaceae. The record is from RNAcentral.
GGGCCAUCGUGCAAGUUUGACCACCCUAUUCUUCCAGCUUCUUCAACUGUGGGCGAGCUUGAACAGCAACCUCACUACGGCAACUUCAGCACUGCAGAAGGGGCUGAAAUGGCCGGAGGAGGGAGCGGAAACAGUGCCACAGUUGAGCAGUCUGCAUAAGAAGUUUGUGCAGAGAGGCCUCCUAGAUAAUAGGAUUUUUCAUGGAGCAUUUGUUUGGGACAAGGAUAUAUUCGACUCGUUUUCAUCGGGUUGAGCUGCCAUAAGCUUUUCAAAUGAUGGCACUUAUUUUCUAUAAUUUACGUUGAACAAAGGAAAAAUGUAAAUUAUACUUAAAUUUCUCUCAUGUAUUGACCUAAUACACAGUGGCUAGAAUCUUGUAG